AUUGAACGCUGGCGGCAGGCUUAACACAUGCAAGCCGAGCGGUUUGAUUAGCUUGCUAAUCAGAUAGCGGCGAACGGGUGAGUAAUGCCUAGGAAUCUACCGAUUAAUGGGGGACAACGUUUCGAAAGGAACGCUAAUACCGCAUACGCUACGGGGGAAAGCAGGGGAUCUUCGGACCUUGCGUUAAUAGAUGAGCCUAGGUCGGAUUAGCUAGUUGGUGAGGUAAAGGCUCACCAAGAAAAACGAACCGUAACUGGUCUGAGAGGAUGAUCAGUCACACUGGAACUGAGACACGGUCCAGACUCUACGGGAGGACAGACAWHAUGGGAAUAUUGGACAAUGGGCGAAAGCCUGAUCCAGCCAUGCCGCGUGUGUGAAGAAGGUCUUCGGAUUGUAAAGCACUUUAAGUUGGGAGGAAGGGUAGUAACUUAAUACGUUGCUAUUUUGWCGUUACCGACAGAAUAAGCACCGGCUAYACUUCGUGC
Molecule: ribosomal RNA, 485 nt
Filed under: uncultured Gammaproteobacteria bacterium
Lineage: Bacteria; Pseudomonadati; Pseudomonadota; Gammaproteobacteria
Description: bacterial SSU rRNA
Rfam family: Bacterial small subunit ribosomal RNA
Source: RNAcentral